GCUGGCGGCGUGCCUAACACAUGCAAGUCGAACGAGAAAGAGAUCUUCGGAUCUUGAGUAGAGUGGCGCACGGGUGAGUAACACGUGGAUAACCUGCCCUAUGAUCUGGGAUAACAUUUCGAAAGAGGUGCUAAUACCGGAUAAGCCCACACAAUCUUCGGAGCGAGUGGGAAAAGAUUUAUCGUCAUAGGAUGGGUCCGCGGUCCAUUAGCUAGUUGGUGGGGUAACGGCCUACCAAGGCCACGAUGGAUAGCUGGUCUGAGAGGAUGAUCAGCCACAUCGGGACUGAGACACGGCCCGAACUCCUACGGGAGGCAGCAGUGGGGAAUAUUGGACAAUGGGGGCAACCCUGAUCCAGCCAUGCCGCGUGUGUGAAGAAGGCUUUCGGGUUGUAAAGCACUUUCAGUGAGGAGGAAAACCUUAUGGUUAAUACCCAUGAGGCUUGACGUUACUCACAGAAGAAGCACCGGCUAACUCCGUGCCAGCAGCCGCGGUAAUAC
RNAcentral lists this ribosomal RNA (500 nucleotides) under bacterium enrichment culture clone NKeF3GA3. RNAcentral's name for it is "bacterial SSU rRNA". It matches the Rfam family "Bacterial small subunit ribosomal RNA", at positions 35 to 526 of the family's 1533-position model. The record is from RNAcentral.